CAGCAGCCGCGGUAAAACGUAGGGUGCAAGCGUUAAUCGGAAUUACUGGGCGUAAAGCGUGCGCAGGCGGUUAGAUAAGCCAGAUGUGAAAUCCCCGAGCUCAACUUGGGAACUGCGUUUGGAACUGUUUAACUAGAGUGCGUCAGAGGGGGGUGGAAUUCCGCGUGUAGCAGUGAAAUGCGUAGAGAUGCGGAGGAACACCGAUGGCGAAGGCAGCCCCCUGGGAUGACACUGACGCUCAUGCACGAAAGCGUGGGGAGCAGAUAGGAUUAGAUACCCCAGUAGUCCCUGUCUCUUAUAC
RNAcentral lists this ribosomal RNA (301 nucleotides) under uncultured bacterium. RNAcentral's name for it is "partial 16S ribosomal RNA". It matches the Rfam family "Bacterial small subunit ribosomal RNA", at positions 509 to 807 of the family's 1533-position model. The record is from RNAcentral.